Long non-coding RNA from Equus caballus (horse), 1247 nucleotides. RefSeq lists it as uncharacterized. The record is from RefSeq and is a predicted model, not a curated record. Lineage: Eukaryota; Metazoa; Chordata; Mammalia; Perissodactyla; Equidae.
UGGGGCCCGGGAUUGGGCCCCGCCCGGGGCUGCCUGGCUGAUGGCGGUGGUGGGCAGAUGGCGAGGACCCCCUAAGCCCCCAGCUUCUCACAGACGUCAGGCUCAGUGGGCGAAACAACUCCUAAAAUAAGGACUUGGCUCAGGGAGGGAGAGGCUGACACUGGGAGUGCAUGAUCUGCAGGGAACGUGGAGAACAGACCUUGCGCCCCAAGGAGGGCAGCCGAGACCCCGGACGGCCCCCACGCCUCUAGUGGGGAGACCCGCCAACUUCUCUAGCUCGUGGACUCCCGGAACAGAUGCUGACUCUUAUCCUUAGAGAAAGAGAAGGCAGAACUGCUUACUCAGUCUCUGGAACUCUCCCAGUCUGAUGGGCGAGGAACAGAGCCGCCAGUCUGACCAGCCAGCACCUCAGAAAAGAACCUACAAAGCAAGACGUGGCUCUGCCACCAACUUCUGUGACCUUGACCAAGCCAUUCCUAGUCUCCUGGCCUCAGUUUACCCAUCUGUAAAGCGAGGAGGCUAAUCGUUCUAGGAGGAUGGCCAUCAUCCAUUUUGCUCACCGUCGUGUCCCCAAGACAGUGGCAGGUACACAGUGGGUACUCAGCUCAUCUCUGUGGAAUGUGGGGUGUCCACUCAAGGGUUGGAGGGUUGGGGUGUCACUACAGUGAAGAAGUGGUUUUAGUCUAUAAAUGGUGAGAGCACUCAGGAAAGAAGCUAUCAAGUAAGGUUGGAGAAUUUAUCUGGGAAGCCUUCCUGGAGGAAGUGAGGAAAAGACGCAGAUUUGGAACUUGAAUUAAGUAUUCUGAUUAACGAGGGACUGGAGAACUGUGGCCUUGGGAAUGCUUUCUUGGCCCUACUUACUGCUCAGGAGGAAAGACCUGAGUCUGAGGUUUAAUAGGCACAGUUUCAUUCCUCCCUUCCCAGUAAUUAAUUACCUGGCCCAGGAUGCUCCCUAGAGUCUGUCGCCACUGCCGUCUUCCAGCUCCUCCCAGGGUCACCCCAGGAUAGUCAGGCUGUAUCCAGAUUGCCAUUCUCCACCUCCCUCCCCAGAGGAGCCGCAUGUGGGGCAGGUGUAGGGGAAGGGACUCCCAAGGUGUAGAUCUGUGCUGUGCAGUAUGGCAGCCCCCAGCCACAUGUGGCAGCUGAGCAGGGGAAUUGUGGCCGAGACAUGCUGUAUACAUGAAAUACACAGACUUUGAAGACUUAGUAUGAAAAAAGAAUGUAGAAUAUUUCACUAAUACUAUUUU